CCUACGGGGAGCAGCAGUGAGGAAUAUUGGUCAAUGGGCGCGAGCCUGAACCAGCCAAGUCGCGUGAGGGAAGACGGUCCUAUGGAUUGUAAACCUCUUUUGUCGGGGAGCAAAAGACGCCACGCGUGGCGUUCCGAGAGUACCCGAAGAAAAAGCAUCGGCAAACUCCGUGCCAGCAGCCGCGGUAAUACGGAGGAUGCGAGCGUUAUCCGGAUUUAUUGGGUUAAAAGGGUGCGCAGGCGGAAGAUCAAGUCAGCGGUAAAAUUGAGGGGCUCAACCUCUUCGAGCUGUUGAAACUGGGUGUCUUGAGUGAGCGAGAAGUAUGCGGAAUGCGUGGUGUAGCGGUGAAAUGCAUAGAUAUCACGCAGAACUCCGAUUGCGAAGGCAGCAUACCGGCGCUCAACUGACGCUCAUGCACGAAAGUGUGGGUAUCGAACAGGAUUAGAUACCCGAGUAGUC
RNAcentral lists this ribosomal RNA (459 nucleotides) under uncultured bacterium. Its description in RNAcentral is "partial 16S ribosomal RNA". It matches the Rfam family "Bacterial small subunit ribosomal RNA", at positions 338 to 795 of the family's 1533-position model. The record is from RNAcentral.